GACGAACGCUGGCGGCGUGCCUAAUACAUGCAAGUUGAGCGCUGAAGGUUGGUACUUGUACCAACUGGAUGAGCAGCGAACGGGUGAGUAACGCGUGGGGAAUCUGCCUUUGAGCGGGGGACAACAUUUGGAAACGAAUGCUAAUACCGCAUAAAAACUUUAAACACAAGUUUUAAGUUUGAAAGAUGCAAUUGCAUCACUCAAAGAUGAUCCCGCGUUGUAUUAGCUAGUUGGUGAGGUAGAGGCUCACCAAGGCGAUGAUACAUAGCCGACCUGAGAGGGUGAGCGGCCACAUUGGGACUGAGACACGGCCCAAACUCCUACGGGAGGCAGCAGUAGGGAAUCUUCGGCAAUGGACGAAAGUCUGACCGAGCAACGCCGCGUGAGUGAAGAAGGUUUUCGGAUCGUAAAACUCUGUUGGUAGAGAAGAACGUUGGUGAGAGUGGAAAGCUCAUCAAGUGACGGUAACUACCCAGAAAGGGACGGCUAACUACGUG
This 497-nucleotide ribosomal RNA is filed under the name uncultured bacterium. RNAcentral's name for it is "partial 16S ribosomal RNA". It matches the Rfam family "Bacterial small subunit ribosomal RNA", at positions 28 to 507 of the family's 1533-position model. The record is from RNAcentral.